This 482-nucleotide ribosomal RNA is filed under the name uncultured bacterium. RNAcentral's name for it is "bacterial SSU rRNA". It matches the Rfam family "Bacterial small subunit ribosomal RNA", at positions 29 to 506 of the family's 1533-position model. The record is from RNAcentral.
UUGAACGCUGGCGGAAUGCUUUACACAUGCAAGUCGAGCGGCAGCGCGGGGGCAACCCUGGCGGCGAGCGGCGAACGGGUGAGUAAUGUAUCGGAACGUACCCUGUCGUGGGGGAUAACACAGCGAAAGCUGUGCUAAUACCGCAUACGACCUGAGGGUGAAAGCGGGGGAUCGCAAGACCUCGCGCGAUAGGAGCGGCCGAUAUCGGAUUAGCUAGUUGGUGAGGUAAAGGCUCACCAAGGCGACGAUCCGUAGCUGGUCUGAGAGGACGACCAGCCACACUGGAACUGAGACACGGUCCAGACUCCUACGGGAGGCAGCAGUGGGGAAUUUUGGACAAUGGGCGCAAGCCUGAUCCAGCCAUACCGCGUGAGUGAAGAAGGCCUUCGGGUUGUAAAGCUCUUUCAGCCGGAAAGAAAUCGUACAGAUUAACACUCUGUAUGGAUGACGGUACCGGAAGAAGAAGCACCGGCUAACUACGU